GCAGGGAUCGGAUAGCAUGGCCAAUUCCGCUGGCUUGAGGUGCCAGUCCUUUAGUAGGUUCGGGAGUUCGAAUCUCCCUCCCUGCA
This 86-nucleotide transfer RNA is filed under the name Candidatus Aenigmatarchaeota archaeon. Its description in RNAcentral is "tRNA-Leu". It matches the Rfam family "tRNA". From Rfam's summary of the family: Transfer RNA (tRNA) molecules are approximately 80 nucleotides in length. Their secondary structure includes four short double-helical elements and three loops (D, anti-codon, and T loops). The record is from RNAcentral. Lineage: Archaea; Nanobdellati; Candidatus Aenigmatarchaeota.